This 1432-nucleotide ribosomal RNA is filed under the name metagenome. RNAcentral's name for it is "bacterial SSU rRNA". It matches the Rfam family "Archaeal small subunit ribosomal RNA". The record is from RNAcentral.
UCCUGUUGAUCCUGCAGGAGAUUGCUGCUAUCAGGGUUCGACUAAGCCAUGCAAGUCCUGGGGUCGCAAGACACCGGCAAACUGCUCAGUAACACGUUGAUAAUCUGUCCUUCGGUCUGGGAUACCCCCGGGAAACUGGGGUUAAAACCGGAUAGAAGACUAGUUCUGGAAAGAAUUGUCUUCCAAAGGCAACGCCGAAGGGUGAGUCAGCGGCCGAUUAGGUUGUUGGUGGGGUAAAGGCCCACCAAGCCGACGAUCGGUAGGGGCCUUGAAAGAGGGAGCCCCGAGAAGGGAACUGAGAUACAGUCCCUAGCCCUACGGGGUGCAGCAGGCGCGAAACCUUUACAAUGCACGAAAGUGUGAUAAGGGAACCCUGAGUGCUCAGCUAUGCUGGGCUUUUGCUAAGAGUAAAAACCUUGGCGAAUAAGUGGUGGGUAAGACGGGUGCCAGCCGCCGCGGUAACACCCGCGCCACAAGUGGUAAUCGUUGUUAUUGGGCCUAAAGCGUCCGUAGCAGGUCAUGUAAAUCUCUUGUGAAAUUGUCGUGCUCAACAUGACAGCGCGCAAGGGACACUGCAAGACUAGGGACCGGGAGGGGUUAGAGGUAUUUCUUGGGGAGCGGUAAAAUGCUAUAAUCCAAGAAGGACCACCUAUGGCGAAGGCAUCUAACCAGAACGGAUCCGACUGUGAGGGACGAAAGCUAGGGGAGCGAACCGGAUUAGAUACCCGAGUAGUCCUAGCUGUAAACGCUGCGAGCUAGGUGUUGCACAAUCUUCAAGGUUGUGCAGUAUCGAAGCGAAGGCGAUAAGCUCGCCGCCUGGGAAGUACGGUCGCAAGGCUGAAACUUAAAGGAAUUGGCGGGGGAGCACUACAAGGGGUGCGGCGUGCGGUUUAAUCUAACUCCACACAGAGAAUCUCACCAGAAGCGACGGCAGGAUGAAAGUCAGAUUAAAGGUUUUACUUGACGAGCCGAGAGGUGGUGCAUGGCCGCCGUCAGCUCGUGCCGUGAGGUGUCCAGUUAAGUCUGGUAACGAGCGAGACCUGCGUCCACAAUUGCUAACGGGUGCUUUUGCAUGACUGAGCACAUUGUGGGGACUGCCCUGCAAACAGGGAGGAAGGUGCAGGCUACGGUAGGUCUGUAUGCCCCGAAUCUUCUGGGCUACACGCGCGCAACAAUGGUAAGGACAAUGGGCUGCGACUCCGAAAGGAGAAGCUAAUCCUCGAAACCUUAUCCAAGUCCGGAUUGAGGGUUGUAACCCACCCUCAUGACGUUGGAAUCCCUAGUAAUCGGACGUUAUCAGCGUCCGGUGAAUACGUCCCUGCUCCUUGCACACACCGCCCGUCAAACCACUCGAGCAGGGUCUAGAUGAGGCCCAGUUUUUUGACUGUAUCGAAUCUAGGCUCAGUGAGAAGGGUUAAGUCGUCACAAGGUA